This 64-nucleotide transfer RNA is filed under the name Opecarcinus hypostegus. Its description in RNAcentral is "tRNA-Leu". Lineage: Eukaryota; Metazoa; Arthropoda; Malacostraca; Decapoda; Cryptochiridae. The record is from RNAcentral.
UCUAAAAUGACAGACAGAUGUGUAGGAUUUAAGCUCCUAAAAGGAAGUAUUCUUCUUUUAGAAC